This 63-nucleotide microRNA precursor is filed under the name Patiria miniata (bat star). RNAcentral's name for it is "Pmi-Mir-96-P2_pre stem-loop". Lineage: Eukaryota; Metazoa; Echinodermata; Asteroidea; Valvatida; Asterinidae. The record is from RNAcentral.
UUUGGCAAUAGAUAGAAUUCACUGUAUGAAGUCAACUAUCAGUGAUUCUGGUAUUGCCAAACC